RNAcentral lists this ribosomal RNA (291 nucleotides) under Clostridioides difficile. RNAcentral's name for it is "partial 23S ribosomal RNA". It matches the Rfam family "Bacterial large subunit ribosomal RNA", at positions 1711 to 2013 of the family's 2925-position model. The record is from RNAcentral. Lineage: Bacteria; Bacillati; Bacillota; Clostridia; Peptostreptococcales; Peptostreptococcaceae.
AACUCGGCAAAAUGACCCCGUAACUUAGGGAUAAGGGGUGCCACCAUCAGGUGGCCGCAGAGAAUAGGCCCAAGCGACUGUUUACCAAAAACAUAGGUUUCUGCUAAGUCGCAAGACGAUGUAUAGGAGCUGACGCCUGCCCGGUGCUGGAAGGUUAAGGGGAGCUGUUAGAGCAAUCGAAGCAGUGAACUUAAGCCCCAGUAAACGGCGGCCGUAACUAUAACGGUCCUAAGGUAGCGAAAUUCCUUGUCGGGUAAGUUCCGACCCGCACGAAAGGCGUAACGAUUUGGG